GUCAGACUCCCGAGUAGCUGGGACUACAGGCGCCCGCCAUGAUGCCCGGCUAAUUUUUUGUAUUUUUAGCAGAGACGGGGUUUCACCCUGUUAGCCAGGAUGGUCUCAUCUCCUGACCUCGUGAUCCGCCCGCCUAGGCCUCCCAAAGUGCUGGGAUUACAGGCGUGAGCCACCGCGCCCGGCCUAAUAAAGGACAAUUUUUAAUAGCCACUGGACUAUUUAAGUGAUCUCUUCUGUCAGUUUCUUUUACCAUCAGAGGACACAGCAGCAAGGUGCCAUCCUAGAAGCAGAGAGCAGACCCUUACCAGACAACCAACCAGCUGGUGCCAUGAUCUUGGACUUCUCGGCCUCCAGAACUAAAUACAGAUUUAUCUUUGUUCCAUGCCACUCCUGAUAGACAUUUACCUCCACCUUGGAAGAAUACAAAGGACUCCACUUAAAAGGCAAAUCAAGCCAAACCUUAUAAAGACAAGCCACAGACUUCAGGUUACAUGUUUUGAGUUCUGCACAAAAUAUUUGAAUGGGUGCUUCAUAAAAGAUGAUAUAUGAGGACUUGGGGCAGAACAAGAUGGCAGAAUAGAAGGCUCCGCCAAUUGUCCCUGCUUCAAGGACACCAAUUUAACAACUAACUACAUAAAAUAGCACCUUUAUAAGAACCAAAAAUCAGGCACUUAAACACGCAGCAUGAGGAAAAUGGAACAACAAUCUUGAGGUGCCUUCUGAAUCAUCAGAUUAAAUUAUGCUUCGGUCUUGCACUGCUGCCUAGGCUAGAGUGCAGUGGUGCAAUCAGGGCUCACUGCAGCCUCACUCAACUUCCCAGUCUCAAGCCAUCCUCCUACCUCAGCCUCUGUUCCACUAAUCUACUUGUCAAUUUUUCCAGCAACACCACACCCUCCUGAUCACCAUAGCUUUAUGGUCAGCUGUGCUAACUUGAUCUCUGAAAAUAGGCUGUGGAUGGUCCUUGCCCUUCCGGACUAACUUGUGCUGCCAUGUUGUUUAUAGUCAUUAGAAAUACUGUAAAAGCAUGCACUGGUAUUCUAAAUUCUAUCUUCUAGCAUUUGAGAAUUUUGUCCAAGACAAUAUCCUGCCAAAAUGCUUCAACAACAGAACAAGAGAAGGGAAAUGGAAUCCUGGAACCAGUAAGGAUUUCUGCUGAGUUACAGCAUCUGUACAUAGCUCAAUAUUAAAAUAUUAAAAUUAAAAUACUGUAACUUAGCAAGCUAAUAGAUAAAAAGAGAAAAUGCGUAUAAUUAUCUCUUUAUAGCUAGAAGAAAUUUGAUGAAAUUCAUUCUCUAUUCUUGUUAAGAACUCUUAAUGCACUGCAAUGUAUUUACAUAAAAUAUCCUGAAAAUAAAAAUAUAAUUAUUAUUUCAUAUUUUUAAAAGAA
Molecule: long non-coding RNA, 1387 nt
Filed under: Homo sapiens (human)
Lineage: Eukaryota; Metazoa; Chordata; Mammalia; Primates; Hominidae
Description: long intergenic non-protein coding RNA 470
Source: RNAcentral